Molecule: ribosomal RNA, 460 nt
Filed under: uncultured bacterium
Lineage: Bacteria
Description: partial 16S ribosomal RNA
Rfam family: Bacterial small subunit ribosomal RNA
Source: RNAcentral
CCUACGGGUGGCAGCAGUGAGGAAUAUUGGUCAAUGGACGAGAGUCUGAACCAGCCAAGUAGCGUGAAGGAUGACUGCCCUAUGGGUUGUAAACUUCUUUUAUAUGGGAAUAAAACGUUCCACGUGUGGGAUUUUGUAUGUACCAUAUGAAUAAGGAUCGGCUAACUCCGUGCCAGCAGCCGCGGUAAUACGGAGGAUCCGAGCGUUAUCCGGAUUUAUUGGGGUUAAAGGGAGCGUAGGUGGAUUGUUAAGUCAGUUGUGAAAGUUUGCGGCUCAACCGUAAAAUUGCAGUUGAAACUGGCAGUCUUGAGCACAGUAGAGGUGGGCGGAAUUCGUGGUGUAGCGGUGAAAUGCUUAGAUAUCACGAAGAACUCCGAUUGCGAAGGCAGUUCACUGGACUGCAACUGACACUGAGGCUCGAAAGUGUGGGUAUCAAACAGGAUUAGAUACCCGUGUAGUC